Molecule: unclassified non-coding RNA, 228 nt
Filed under: fungal sp.
Lineage: Eukaryota; Fungi
Description: partial internal transcribed spacer region
Rfam family: Eukaryotic small subunit ribosomal RNA (bases 1-46)
Source: RNAcentral
AAGUCGUAACAAGGUCUCCGUAGGUGAACCUGCGGAGGGAUCAUUACCGAGAGUAGGGGGCCCCCCGGGGCCCCCGCCCUCCCCACCCUUUGUUUGACCAAACCCCGUUGCCUCGGGGGCCGGCCCGGCCGCCCCCGGUGGACCAACCGCAAACGCUGCAUCUGUGCGUCGGACGUAUGCGAAGCAAAUCGUUUUAAAACUUUCAGCAACGGAUCUCUUGGUUCUCGC